This is a long non-coding RNA of Neomonachus schauinslandi (Hawaiian monk seal), 305 nucleotides long. RefSeq lists it as uncharacterized. The transcript has 3 exons. The record is from RefSeq and is a predicted model, not a curated record. NCBI's taxonomy places the organism in Eukaryota, Metazoa, Chordata, Mammalia, Carnivora, Phocidae.
UCAGGAGCUACAAGAGCUUCAGAAAAGGGCAGAGAAAUAUCCAUGUGCCAGUCCUCGCUGGCUAUGGGGAAGCAAGGUUAGCCUCAUAGUCUAUGACCCGGACUACAUGAAGGUGAUCCUGGGGCGAUCAGACCCAAAGUCUGAUGGUUCCUACAGAUUCAUGGCUCCCUGGAUAGGGUAUGGUUUGCUCCUGUUGAAUGGGCAGGCGUGGUUCCAGCACAGGCGGAUGCUGACCCCAGCCUUCCACUAUGACAUCCUGAAGCCCUACGUGGGACUCAUGGCCGAUUCUGUCCGAGUGAUGCUGG